RNAcentral lists this unclassified non-coding RNA (1040 nucleotides) under Hevea brasiliensis (rubber tree). The record is from RNAcentral. Lineage: Eukaryota; Viridiplantae; Streptophyta; Magnoliopsida; Malpighiales; Euphorbiaceae.
AUAAUAAUAAUAAUAAUAAUUCGAUCUUAUAUACAAGAAACACAACCUUUUCUUUUAAUUAAGGUUGCUCAAAUUCAUAUGCAAGCUUGUGGGGGUGGUGGGUUUAAUUAACUACUGUAAUUAAUUUACAUGAUUAUUCUUAUUUACAAUUUUCUGUCCUAAAUGUAAGGAUUAAUAUGGGAUGUGUAGUCCCUAAUUCCAGCACCUUCCCAUCCCAUCCACUCUUCCCACAUGUCCCAAUCUGGAUCGUCCAUUCCUCUCAUUGGCUCAUCUAUUCCUUGAUCAGUUGGCUCAUAUGAUGAGUACAUUUGUGAUUCAUCUGCUUCUCCUCUCAAACUGCUCAACACAAUAUCAUAGGCUUCAUUAAUCCUAGUGAACUGCACAUUACAAUUGCUUUCUCUGCAUACAUCAGGAUGAUACUGCAAAGCAAGCUGCCUAAAGGCUUUCUUGACCUCAGAUUCAGAGGCACCAGGCUGGAUCCUAAGGGUCUUGUAAGGAUCCAUCACAGAAGAUGAAGAAGAAACACAGAGAAACCUGACUCUAUCUCCCCUCAUAUUGUUAUUAUUCUUCCUCCUCUUCUUGAUCUGAAACCAAGAAGAUGAAGAACCAGUACAACCAUUUCCCCCAAUCAUUCCAACAGCAGCACAAGCCAUAUUUUCCGAUCACUCUUAGAAGGUAACAACACAAUUCAAGAAAUACCCAGAAAAUCGUCCUUAUAAAUGAUUUAAUGAGAAACAAAAAACCAAGAAAAACAAAACAGUGGGCAAGAAAUGGACGGUUUUGGCUCUUGAGAAAUUGGUAAAGGUGAAAGCUUUCAAUAAUAGAAUAGACAAAAAAGGUAAGGGAGAGUGUUGAUACAAGGAGAUGUGCAAAGGGCAAAGGGAAAGAAUGUUCAUAUAGCCAUUGAAGGUCCUUAUCCACAAUGUCCGGUUUUUGUGAUGGUUGUGACGUGUAAACGUAGAAAUUUCAGGUUUCAGGGAAAAUUGAGAGGAGUUCUGUGCUUAUCCUGGUACUAGUCAGAUUGGAAGAAACGACUUUUG